GAUGAACGCUGGCGGCGUGCCUAAUACAUGCAAGUCGAGCGAACGGACGAGAAGCUUGCUUCUCUGAUGUUAGCGGCGGACGGGUGAGUAACACGUGGAUAACCUACCUAUAAGACUGGGAUAACUUCGGGAAACCGGAGCUAAUACCGGAUAAUAUUUUGAACCGCAUGGUUCAAAAGUGAAAGACGGUCUUGCUGUCACUUAUAGAUGGAUCCGCGCUGCAUUAGCUAGUUGGUAAGGUAACGGCUUACCAAGGCAACGAUGCAUAGCCGACCUGAGAGGGUGAUCGGCCACACUGGAACUGAGACACGGUCCAGACUCCUACGGGAGGCAGCAGUAGGGAAUCUUCCGCAAAGGGCGAAAGACUGACGGAGCAACGCCGCGUGAGUGAUGAAGGUCUUCGGAUCGUAAAACUCUGUUAUUAGGGAAGAACAUAUGUGUAAGUAACUGUGCACAUCUUGACGGUACCUAAUCAGAAAGCCACGGCUAACUACGUG
This 497-nucleotide ribosomal RNA is filed under the name uncultured bacterium. Its description in RNAcentral is "partial 16S ribosomal RNA". It matches the Rfam family "Bacterial small subunit ribosomal RNA", at positions 28 to 507 of the family's 1533-position model. The record is from RNAcentral.